Molecule: ribosomal RNA, 577 nt
Filed under: Trichoderma atroviride
Lineage: Eukaryota; Fungi; Ascomycota; Sordariomycetes; Hypocreales; Hypocreaceae
Description: eukaryotic LSU rRNA
Rfam family: 5.8S ribosomal RNA (bases 198-351)
Source: RNAcentral
GAGGGAUCAUUACCGAGUUUACAACUCCCAAACCCAAUGUGAACCAUACCAAACUGUUGCCUCGGCGGGGUCACGCCCCGGGUGCGUCGCAGCCCCGGAACCAGGCGCCCGCCGGAGGGACCAACCAAACUCUUUUCUGUAGUCCCCUCGCGGACGUUAUUUCUUACAGCUCUGAGCAAAAAUUCAAAAUGAAUCAAAACUUUCAACAACGGAUCUCUUGGUUCUGGCAUCGAUGAAGAACGCAGCGAAAUGCGAUAAGUAAUGUGAAUUGCAGAAUUCAGUGAAUCAUCGAAUCUUUGAACGCACAUUGCGCCCGCCAGUAUUCUGGCGGGCAUGCCUGUCCGAGCGUCAUUUCAACCCUCGAACCCCUCCGGGGGGUCGGCGUUGGGGACCUCGGGAGCCCCUAAGACGGGAUCCCGGCCCCGAAAUACAGUGGCGGUCUCGCCGCAGCCUCUCCUGCGCAGUAGUUUGCACAACUCGCACCGGGAGCGCGGCGCGUCCACGUCCGUAAAACACCCAACUUUCUGAAAUGUUGACCUCGGAUCAGGUAGGAAUACCCGCUGAACUUAAGCAUAUC